CUUCAGCACCGGGGAGAGCGCCCGGCAGCGCCCGCAGCGCCCGCAGCGCCCGCGCCGAGCGCCGGGCACGGCCCGGGGGCCGAGCCCGAUGGGGCCGCGCUGAGCCGGGCGGGCGGCCCGCGGGGCGGGCGGGCGGGGGGCGCGGGGGGCCCGGCGGGCUCCGGGCCGCCCGUGGAUGAGCACCAUGCGGCUGCUGCUGCUCGCUCUCCUCUUCUCCUCGUCCUUCGCCCGCGCCGGCUGCGACCCUAAGAUCGUCAAUAUCGGCGCGGUGCUGAGCACCAAGAAGCACGAGCAGAUCUUCCGCGAGGCGGUGAACCAGGCCAACAAGCGGCACGGCACCUGGAAGCUUCAGCUCAACGCCACCUCCGUCACCCACAAGCCCAACGCCAUCCAGAUGGCCCUGUCCGUCUGCGAGGACCUCAUCUCCAGCCAGGUCUAUGCAAUAUUAGUUAGUCACCCUCCUGCUCCCAACGAUCACCUAACACCAACACCUGUAUCAUACACAGCUGGCUUCUACAGGAUCCCUGUCAUUGGUCUGACAACACGCAUGUCUAUAUAUUCUGAUAAGAGCAUCCACCUGUCCUUUUUGCGCACGGUCCCACCUUACUCUCACCAGGCCAACGUCUGGUUUGAGAUGAUGAGAGUCUUCAACUGGAACCACGUCAUUCUGAUAGUCAGUGACGACCACGAGGGUCGUGCUGCACAGAAGAAGCUGGAGACCCUCCUGGAGGAGAAAGAGUCCAAGAGUAAAAAAAGGAACUAUGAAAACCUCGACCAACUUUCCUAUGACAACAAGCGAGGACCCAAGGCUGAGAAAGUGCUUCAGUUUGACCCUGGGACCAAAAAUGUGACAGCGCUGCUGCUGGAGGCGAAGGAGCUGGAGGCCAGGGUCAUCAUCCUCUCCGCCAGCGAGGAUGACGCGGCCACGGUGUACCGAUCAGCAGCCAUGCUCAACAUGACGGGCUCGGGCUACGUGUGGCUGGUGGGCGAGCGGGAGAUCUCGGGCAAUGCCCUGCGCUACGCCCCGGACGGAGUGAUCGGUUUGCAGCUCAUCAACGGCAAGAACGAGUCAGCCCACAUCAGUGACGCUGUCGCCGUGGUGGCCCAGGCCGUGCACGACUUGUUUGAGAAGGAGAAUAUCACAGACCCACCGCGGGGCUGCGUGGGCAACACCAACAUCUGGAAGACAGGACCCCUUUUUAAGAGGGUGUUGAUGUCCUCCAAGUAUUCAGAGGGUGUCACUGGCCGGGUGGAGUUCAACGAGGACGGGGACAGGAAGUUUGCCAACUACAGCAUCAUGAACCUGCAGAACCGGAAACUGGUCCAAGUUGGGAUUUACAAUGGCAGCAAUGUCCUGACCAACGACAGGAAGAUCAUCUGGCCAGGAGGGGAAACUGAGAAACCUCAAGGCUACCAGAUGUCAACCAAGUUGAAGAUUGUGACCAUCCACCAAGAGCCCUUUGUGUAUGUGAAGCCCACUCAGGCAGAUGGGACGUGCAGGGAGGAAUUCACCAUCAAUGGAGAUCCUGUCAAAAAGGUCUUCUGCACUGGACCCAAUGAGACCAUCCCAGGCCGUCCCACCGUGGCACUGUGCUGCUACGGCUUCUGCAUCGACCUGCUCAUCCGCCUGGCAGGCGUGAUGAACUUCACCUACGAGGUCCACCUGGUGGCUGAUGGUAAAUUUGGUACCCAAGAGCGGGUGAACAACAGCAACAAGAAGGAGUGGAACGGGAUGAUGGGGGAGCUGCUGAGCGGCCAGGCUGACAUGAUUGUGGCUCCCCUCACCAUCAACAACGAGCGGGCUCAGUACAUUGAGUUCUCCAAGCCCUUCAAGUACCAGGGCCUCACCAUCCUCGUGAAGAAGGAAAUCCCCCGCAGCACCCUGGACUCAUUCAUGCAGCCCUUCCAGAGCACGCUCUGGCUGCUGGUGGGGCUGUCUGUGCAUGUGGUGGCAGUGAUGUUGUACCUCUUAGACCGAUUCAGCCCAUUUGGCCGGUUCAAAGUAAACAGUGAGGAGGAGGAGGAAGAUGCCCUGACUCUCUCCUCAGCCAUGUGGUUCUCCUGGGGGGUCCUGCUGAACUCUGGCAUUGGAGAAGGUGCUCCCCGGAGUUUCUCUGCCCGUAUCCUUGGCAUGGUGUGGGCUGGCUUUGCUAUGAUCAUUGUGGCUUCAUACACUGCCAACCUGGCAGCCUUCCUGGUGUUAGACCGACCUGAGGAGAGGAUCACAGGCAUUAACGACCCCCGGCUGCGCAACCCCUCGGAUAAAUUCAUCUACGCCACAGUGAAGCAGAGCUCUGUGGACAUCUACUUCCGACGGCAGGUGGAGCUGAGCACCAUGUACAGGCACAUGGAGAAGCACAACUACGAGAGCGCUGCCGAAGCCAUCCAGGCAGUGAGGGACAACAAGCUGCACGCCUUCAUCUGGGACUCGGCGGUGCUGGAGUUCGAGGCCUCCCAGAAGUGUGACCUGGUGACCACGGGGGAGCUCUUCUUCCGCUCCGGCUUCGGGAUCGGGAUGCGCAAGGACAGCCCCUGGAAGCAGAACGUCUCCCUGGCCAUCCUCAAGUCCCACGAGAACGGCUUCAUGGAGGAUUUGGACAAGACUUGGGUGAGGUAUCAAGAGUGUGAUUCCCGUAGCAAUGCCCCAGCAACACUCACCUUUGAAAAUAUGGCAGGUGUGUUUAUGCUGGUGGCUGGAGGUAUUGUUGCCGGGAUAUUUUUAAUAUUCAUAGAGAUAGCUUACAAAAGGCAUAAGGACGCGCGGAGGAAGCAGAUGCAGCUGGCGUUUGCGGCCGUUAAUGUGUGGAGGAAAAACCUGCAGAGAGAACUGAGAAGGAGGAGCAAAUGUAUCCCCGAGCAUGCUCUACGCACCAGCGGGAUACAUUUUGGUUACCCCCGUGCGGUAGCAGAGCCAGACCUGGUCACUCCGUCCCCCGUCGGAAAGGUCACACUCAUUGGCACGAAAGCAAUUGGGGAGGACUCGUUGCCAGCGCCCGGCGCCGAGCGCGGCCGGGCCCCCCGGCCCGCGGCCCCCGCACCAUGGCGGCUGGUGCUCCCAGCCUGCGCCAACCAGGAUAGAAAAAGUGGUAGAGCAGAACCUGACCCUAAAAAGAAAGCCACUUUUAGGUCCAUCACCUCCACCCUGGCCUCCAGCUUCAAGAGACGUAGGUCCUCCAAGGAUACGCCCUGCAGAAUGGUCCCUCAGGAGUGCCAGAGAGACAGGCUGGCACCAUGGAGCCAAGACAGCCCUGGGAAGCUUCCAUCCCACUCUGAACGUCCUAGCGCCCACCAUCACCCGAGCUGCACAGCCUCUCCGCGGCACAUCAUCCCCACCGCCCCAGGAGGAGAUGCAUGUGUUCCCCAUAGGCAGCUCCUGCAACUCGAGUAGCACUGGCAGAGCUGACGUGUCCAUCCAUCGCAGCCACCCACGAUACUGCAACCCCACAGACGCCAUGUGAGACGCAUAAACCACACAGACACCUCCGAGCCGGCACAUUGCGUACAGACACGAUCGAGGUGCACAGGUCCCUUAGCCCCCCGCAUCGCCAGCCCCUGCAGAGCCACACUGCCAGCCCCAGCCCCAGUGACACACGGCCCGCGGCACCGCCCCGCCGGGGCAGCCGCUGGCCCCGCGGCCCUGGGGACGGUGCCAGAGCUGGGCAACAACCGAGGGGCUUCCUGGAAAAGGUCACCUUUUCAGUGAAGGAUCAGCUGUCCCAAAGCCAAACGCUUCUUGGCUGAGAAAGAGCCUAGUUUUUGGCCCAAAAGAACCAAAACAGUAUCACCCCACCGACAUCACCGGCCAGCUCAACCUCUCCGACCCCUCAGUCAGCACUGUGGUGUGACCUUCUCCCCGAGGGCCAUCAGUCCUUGCCCAACACAGUAGGAAGGCACAGCCAGGACUGCCUUUCAAGGGACACUGAUGGGUUCUUCCGGGUGAGAUGGGAGGAAAGCAUCCUUCAUCCAUACACAGUGACUCCAUUGUAUAUCUCCCUCCCUUCCUAGGCCUGCUGCCAUGCUCGUGCCCCAGGAAGCACGGCAGGACCAGGACAAGGUUUGGACUUCACUGUACAGAGAUAAUCGCUUCCAAACAGUGCCACAAUAAUCAGAAUUGCCACUGACUGGCUCCGUGCAAGGGGAAAGGACUGCAGAAGGCACACGGUGCCUGCUCUCCCACGGUAGCAGGGAAGAGCUGGUGCCAAACCACAAACACGUGCUUAACCUCAGAGGCUGCAGCCUUCUGAGCACACACAGCCCCUCAGAGGUGUGCUCCACAUCUCCCACCACCUGGAGGGCUCCACGGUCCUGAGCAGCUGGAGCAGCCAGCUCCCGGUGCUGCGGGCUUGGCACAUGUUCCUGCUGUGCCAAGUGACCCUCACGUCUGCCGCAGGGGCUGGAAGGUGUGUGCUCUGCUCCUUGCAGGGGUUGGACCCUCUUCCCUUCCUUCCCAUCGUCCCGUGACUGUGACUCCUGUGACUCGGUUCGUGUCCGUGGUCUGGCAGCAGCAGGAGAGCUCCCGCCCUGCAGCCCUCGCCCCCGAGCUAAUCGCGGUACUCCGGAGCCCGCGGUGUGCCGCCAGGCAAGACCCCGGCUCCCACCUCUCCUGCACAGAAGACAUCCCCAGGACCUGGCCACGGCCAGCAUGUAGCACUCACACAGCAGCUCUCCUGGCCAGGAAUUCUCCACGGGAAAUGGCUCUGGAUGGUUGCACUGACCUCUACCCCAGCUCCACACUGCCUCAGCACCAGCAAUGCAAGGAGAGAUGCUGCUGGCUGCCACCCAGCCCGUCUGCACGGCCGGGGCACCGCGGCCAGCGCUGGCGGCUCCCGUGCCCCCCUCACCUGCAGCCCAAGCUUGCCAGCAGCUCCCGCGGCAGCCCUGAAGCCCCAGCUCACGGCGCUCCAUCUGCCUGCACCCGGAGACGCGGCAAGCAGAGCGAGGGUCGGGAGAAGGAGCCGAACGGGCCGGGCUGACGCCGUCCCUCCCUGCACCGUCCUCCCCGGGCUGCCCCGAGCACCCUCCCCGAGGGCAGCGGGCGGAGGCAGCGGCCCCGGGGGUGAGCAGCGGCUCCUGCCCGCACGGAACACCCGCUGCAAGGUGGAGCCCGGCCCCAGCGGCACGGACUGCCUGCCCCGCGGGCAGCAAGACUUCACAUGGCAGCUGAGGUCUGUGAGCAUCGUCCCACCGACUGCUGUGGCUCCAUCAAGUUCAUCUAGCUCCAGCUGAGAAAUCGGACCCAUUGUACUUUAUACGUCAAUGUUACAUGAAUACCAAGUUUUUGCAAGAGCUCAGUAAAGUCUAGACUGGAUCAUGAAGUGGUUUAUUCCAGA
Molecule: RNA transcript, 5330 nt
Organism: Passer domesticus (house sparrow)
Lineage: Eukaryota; Metazoa; Chordata; Aves; Passeriformes; Passeridae
Gene: GRIN1
Gene name: glutamate ionotropic receptor NMDA type subunit 1
Exons: 23
Source: RefSeq, a predicted model, not a curated record